RNAcentral lists this ribosomal RNA (233 nucleotides) under uncultured bacterium. Its description in RNAcentral is "partial 16S ribosomal RNA". It matches the Rfam family "Bacterial small subunit ribosomal RNA", at positions 524 to 757 of the family's 1533-position model. The record is from RNAcentral.
UACGAAGGGGCUAGCGUUGUUCGGAAUUACUGGGCGUAAAGGGUGUGUAGGUGGUCUAGUACGUCAGGAGUGAAAUCCCCAGGCUCAACCUGGGAAUUGCUUUUGAGACUAUUAGACUUGAGUACAGGAGAGGUGAGUGGAAUUCCCAGUGUAGAGGUAAAAUUCGUAGAUAUUGGGAGGAACACCAGUGGCGAAGGCGGCUCACUGGCCUGUAACUGACACUGAGACACGAA